This 268-nucleotide long non-coding RNA is filed under the name Arachis ipaensis. RNAcentral describes it as "long non-coding RNA (AIPA_LNC001352)". Lineage: Eukaryota; Viridiplantae; Streptophyta; Magnoliopsida; Fabales; Fabaceae. The record is from RNAcentral.
GUAAAAUAAAGCAUAUAUGAACAAGUUGAAGAAGUUAGUCAUUCACUCAUUCUCGUUCAAAAACGGAGAACCGUGAAAUAAACGGGCCGGAAGAAAGGUCCCGUCCCGUGGAAAUGACUAAUAUAUAUAUAUAUAUGAGUUCCGAGAAAACAAAACCCUAAUCUUAUGCCACUGCCGUCACUCCUCUUCCAAAAUUCAAAUCCUCCCUCACAAUCAGCCCAGAAAUUUGCACCUCUCUGUCUCUCUUCUCGCCGCCGUCCGACACCCN